UUCAUGCGUGAGUUCCAAAUAUCUCUAACGGUCGCCCCAGCGUGAGUUUUUUUUAUGCACGUGAUGUUAGAAUGUUCUCUCCAUUCCAGAAUGUGAUUGAUACGUAACAGUACAUUUUAUCCGCGCUGCCCUCAAACUAAAGCACGCAGCCUGUUUAUAUUUAUAGGUUGUUUUAACUUCAAUUUCAAAUGAUUUUCAAACAAGUUUUUAUUUUCUAAAAACAGUUUGAAUUUAGGUGUGUUCCGCCUCCUCAUUCAUUCACAUAAAAAUAGUCAUUUUUACUUUUGCGGAUAAUUACAUUUUUGGGACAUUUCUGACACGGACAAAAUUCCCCAAGCACUUCCCAAUUGUUUGUGCAGUUCACGUCUGCAGACAUUUGCUCAUCUCCCAUCAGAACAGGAUCUGCACACGUGUUCACAUUUUCUAUUCCACAUUUCUAUUGUAGCGUACUGUAUGUAUGGAGCAUAAUAUAUUUGUGUAUAUUCUUUAUCACCGCGGACACGUGAGCUACCAUGGCCUUAUGACUCUCAAGUGGUGCAGCGGUCAAAGGCACAGCACAUCAGUACUAGAGGCGUCACUACAGACUCCCUGGUUCAAAUCCAGGCUGCGUUUCCAUCAAA
Long non-coding RNA from Oncorhynchus nerka (sockeye salmon), 620 nucleotides. RefSeq lists it as uncharacterized. The record is from RefSeq and is a predicted model, not a curated record. The transcript has 2 exons. Lineage: Eukaryota; Metazoa; Chordata; Actinopteri; Salmoniformes; Salmonidae.